GUCAUCGUCAAUAUCAUCAUUGCACGCUUGAAGACCUUCAUUUUUGUAUUUUUCUUUAUCUGUAUACAUCGGUUUUAAGAGUCUCGAUACACAGUGCCUGCAAAUGGAAAGUCUGAAACCUCCUUUAAUCCAUUCGUGCAUCUGAUUGUGUAAGGGUUUGAUGGCUUGUUUCCCUCUCACCAAAAUCGUACAUACUUAGGGUUGAAGCAUCGUUGCAUCCUUCUUCUUUAUGGAAUCAAGCCGGAAAUCACACAACUUUUGAAAAUUGCACUGGACCUACGGUGAUGGAGGCGAUUGUGUGUGUUUUUCAUGUAUGCUCUGUAUUUUUUUUCUUUAUUCAAGAUUGUAAAUGGAGUUCCUGAAAAUGAAAUGGAGGAAAGGACACCCACAUCGGGUUUUGUUCCUUGAGAUUUGGGGAUUCCAUCGAUUUUGUACACCAUAUGCAUCGAAGAAAACCCCAUUUGGAUUCUGAAAAAAGUGAAGCUGAAAGAGGGAGAAGAAGAUGCUACCUUCAAAUAUCCUUUUUGAAAUGAAAAAAAAAACGUUCAAUUUCUGCAAAUGAAAAAAUCGAAACAAGCUACCUUAUUAGGUUUUAGAAUCGAAACAUGUGUAUGUUCAUCAUUAUGUGUAUGUUAUGAGUUAAGAAGAGCCUGAUGAAGAUGACUAAUA
This is a long non-coding RNA of Lactuca sativa (garden lettuce), 669 nucleotides long. RefSeq lists it as uncharacterized. The record is from RefSeq and is a predicted model, not a curated record. NCBI's taxonomy places the organism in Eukaryota, Viridiplantae, Streptophyta, Magnoliopsida, Asterales, Asteraceae.